GCCUAACACAUGCAAGUCGAGCGGUAACAGAUAGAAAGCUUGCUUUCUUUGCUGACGAGCGGCGGACGGGUGAGUAAUGCCUGGGAAUAUGCCUUGAUGUGGGGGAUAACCAUUGGAAACGAUGGCUAAUACCGCAUAAUGCCUACGGGCCAAAGAGGGGGAUCUUCGGACCUCUCGCGUCAAGAUUAGCCCAGGUGGGAUUAGCUAGUUGGUGAGGUAAUGGCUCACCAAGGCGACGAUCCCUAGCUGGUCUGAGAGGAUGAUCAGCCACACUGGAACUGAGACACGGUCCAGACUCCUACGGGAGGCAGCAGUGGGGAAUAUUGCACAAUGGGCGCAAGCCUGAUGCAGCCAUGCCGCGUGUGUGAAGAAGGCCUUCGGGUUGUAAAGCACUUUCAGUCGUGAGGAAGGUAGUUGCGUUAAUAGCGUAAUUAUUUGACGUUAGCGACAGAAGAAGCACCGGCUAACUCCGUGCCAGCAGCCGCGGUAAUACGGAGGGUGCGAGCGUUAAUCGGAAUUACUGGGCGUAAAGCGCAUGCAGGUGGUUUGUUAAGUCAGAUGUGAAAGCCCGGGGCUCAACCUCGGAAUUGCAUUUGAAACUGGCAGACUAGAGUACUGUAGAGGGGGGUAGAAUUUCAGGUGUAGCGGUGAAAUGCGUAGAGAUCUGAAGGAAUACCGGUGGCGAAGGCGGCCCCCUGGACAGAUACUGACACUCAGAUGCGAAAGCGUGGGGAGCAAACAGGAUUAGAUACCCUGGUAGUCCACGCCGUAAACGAUGUCUACUUGGAGGUUGUGGCCUUGAGCCGUGGCUUUCGGAGCUAACGCGUUAAGUAGACCGCCUGGGGAGUACGGUCGCAAGAUUAAAACUCAAAUGAAUUGACGGGGGCCCGCACAAGCGGUGGAGCAUGUGGUUUAAUUCGAUGCAACGCGAAGAACCUUACCUACUCUUGACAUCCAGAGAAGCCAGCGGAGACGCAGGUGUGCCUUCGGGAACUCUGAGACAGGUGCUGCAUGGCUGUCGUCAGCUCGUGUUGUGAAAUGUUGGGUUAAGUCCCGCAACGAGCGCAACCCUUAUCCUUGUUUGCCAGCGAGUAAUGUCGGGAACUCCAGGGAGACUGCCGGUGAUAAACCGGAGGAAGGUGGGGACGACGUCAAGUCAUCAUGGCCCUUACGAGUAGGGCUACACACGUGCUACAAUGGCGCAUACAGAGGGCUGCCAACCAGCGAUGGUGAGCGAAUCCCAAAAAGUGCGUCGUAGUCCGGAUUGGAGUCUGCAACUCGACUCCAUGAAGUCGGAAUCGCUAGUAAUCGUGGAUCAGAAUGCCACGGUGAAUACGUUCCCGGGCCUUGUACACACCGCCCGUCACACCAUGGGAGUGGGCUGCAAAAGAAGUGGGUAGUUUAACCUUUCGAGGAGGACGCUCACCAC
Molecule: ribosomal RNA, 1429 nt
Filed under: Vibrio ichthyoenteri
Lineage: Bacteria; Pseudomonadati; Pseudomonadota; Gammaproteobacteria; Vibrionales; Vibrionaceae
Description: bacterial SSU rRNA
Rfam family: Bacterial small subunit ribosomal RNA
Source: RNAcentral